GUAGUCCACGCCGUAAACGAUGGGCACUAGGUGCUCUGGGGAGCGACCCCCGGGGUACCGGCGCUAACGCAUGAAGUGCCCCGCCUGGGGAGUACGGCCGCAAGGCUGAAACUCAAAGGAAUUGACGGGGGCCCGCACAAGCGGUGGAGCAUGUGGUUUAAUUCGACGCAACGCGCAGAACCUUACCUAGGCUUGACAUGCUGGUGAAACCCGGUGGAAACAUCGGGCCCUCUUCGGAGCAUCAGCACAGGUGCUGCAUGGCUGUCGUCAGCUCGUGUCGUGAGAUGUUGGGUUAAGUCCCGCAACGAGCGCAACCCCCGCCCCGUGUUGCUAACAGGCUGCAAAGCGCUGAGGACUCUCGGGGGACUGCCGGUGCCAAACCGGA
Molecule: ribosomal RNA, 385 nt
Filed under: uncultured bacterium
Lineage: Bacteria
Description: bacterial SSU rRNA
Rfam family: Bacterial small subunit ribosomal RNA
Source: RNAcentral